Molecule: unclassified non-coding RNA, 145 nt
Filed under: soil metagenome
Description: partial internal transcribed spacer 1
Source: RNAcentral
UAAUAAGUGUUUUAUGGCACUUUUUAAAUCCAUAUCCACCUUGUGUGCAAUGUCAGUCGAUCUUCUUCAUGGAGAUCGACCAAACAUCAACCUUUAUCUUUUAACUCUUUGUCUGAAAAAUAUUAUGAAUAAACAAUUCAAAACA